RNAcentral lists this ribosomal RNA (351 nucleotides) under uncultured bacterium. RNAcentral's name for it is "partial 16S ribosomal RNA". It matches the Rfam family "Bacterial small subunit ribosomal RNA", at positions 338 to 681 of the family's 1533-position model. The record is from RNAcentral.
CCUACGGGAGGCAGCAGUAGGGAAUGUUUCACAAUGGGCGAAAGCCUGAUGGAGCAAUGCCGCGUGAAUGAUGAAGGUCUUAUAGAUUGUAAAAUUCUUUUAUGUGGGAAGAAAAACUAAAGUAGGAAAUGACUUGAGUCUGACUGUACAAUGGGAAUAAGUAACGGCUAACUAGGUGACAGCAGCCGCGGUAAGACCUAGGAUGCAAGCGUGAUCCGGAUUUACUGGGCGUAAAACGAGCGCAGGCGGGUUAACAAGUUUGGUAUGAAAGGCUUUUGCUUAACGAAAGUUUGUAUCCCAAACUGUUAAUCUAGAGUGUAGUAGCGCGUUCUGGCAUUCCCUGUGGAGCGG